This 30-nucleotide small RNA is filed under the name Bombyx mori (domestic silkworm). RNAcentral describes it as "ovarian small RNA-12570". The record is from RNAcentral. Lineage: Eukaryota; Metazoa; Arthropoda; Insecta; Lepidoptera; Bombycidae.
AUGAGCAAAUGAACUUUUGAACAUUUUUUU